This is an RNA transcript of Symphalangus syndactylus (siamang), 1132 nucleotides long. RefSeq lists it as uncharacterized. Lineage: Eukaryota; Metazoa; Chordata; Mammalia; Primates; Hylobatidae. The record is from RefSeq and is a predicted model, not a curated record.
AUUAUGGAAACCUUUACCAUAUUUCAUUGCAUCUAAGACACAUUUUUUUUUUGUGAUUUAACAUCUCUAAGGUUGGGUUAUGUUUCUUCAUCAUUGUCAGGUUGGAGUUUAAUUAGCAGCACAUUUUUUUUUUUUCUUAAUAUCACAUACAGUAAUGGUGAUCCAUCUCACAAUUGAGAUCAUCUUAGACGUGAUGGAAUAUGGAAUCGUGUGCCUGUUACAAGCCAGGCUGUUGUCUGGGUUCCAGAGACAGUGGAACCCCAGACAGCACCAUCCUCUAGUGGUGUUCACAUCCCACCACAGUGGAGUCAGGACUUUGAAGUCCUCCAUUGGAUCUGCUUGGAAGAUGAGGGAAAUGAGAGAGUAUGGAGAGAGAUUUUGUAAGUCAGGUCUGGAAGUAGUCAUUGUUCAGAAUCCAGCCACGUGGCUACAUGAAAUUGUAAGCUCUAUUGAAGAAAGAAAAAAGAUGAAAUAAGGGUUGUUGAUAGCAACCAUUCCCAGCUGCAUUUCCUAAUUUUGAGACCUGUUCACAUCUGGGACAUUCGAGAAAAGCAAACAAGAUCCUUUCCAGCAAACACCUAAGUGAGAAAUUAUUCCUGGUGGUCAGUGUGGUAGUCAGCACCACACUUUGUGUUGUUGGUCAACAUAGGGAAUUAAUUCAAAAGGCAGUCAUGAGCUCUUCAAGGGCAUUUCUGCACAUAUGGGCAGAUGAGGAAAAAGUCACCGGCAUUUCCUUUGUCCAAAGUCCAUUCUUCCUUGGAGCUGCAAAUGCUUUCUUGAAAAGAUGAGGCCUUUAUCCUUAUGAACACAUUCUGCGGACCGAUUCUCUUUGGCCCAAAGGUUUCCUGUCCCGUAAUGGAAAGUAGGUGUGACAUUCUGUUUGAUAAUCCCAGGCCAGAGAUCUUGGACGCAGCUGUCCCUUAGUGAAGAAUAAAACUGUGGACUGACCCCCACCCAUUUGCGAAGAAAGUACUGGGUCUUCAGCUUUCAUUGUUCAGCCGGUGGUCUUUGUGGACAACACCAGGGGCCCCUCCUGCUGAAGACUGUCUGAACUUCCUGAUUUUCACUCCUGUAUAAACCCCCUCCCCCAUUACUACCUUUGUCUCCUUGGGGAAAAAAAAAUGUUUUUCAC